Long non-coding RNA from Camelus dromedarius (Arabian camel), 850 nucleotides. RefSeq lists it as uncharacterized. The transcript has 4 exons. The record is from RefSeq and is a predicted model, not a curated record. NCBI's taxonomy places the organism in Eukaryota, Metazoa, Chordata, Mammalia, Artiodactyla, Camelidae.
UGGGUAGAAACAACAAUAGACAAUCAAUCAGCAGACCUGAAUUUAAGAGUCAGCUCUGCAGUAAACUCUAUAACCAGGUAACCUCAGUACAGCACAGACAGAUUUGGGGACCUCUCAUUCUGUGGCAGUCCUGGAGAACCUCUACAAGAAGAUCAAGCAGGAACAACUGAAGGGAAAUUAAUGAACCUUUGGCCCUGAAGAUCACACUCUGAUAUCUAGAUGACCCUUGCUUCACCUCCAUAAAAAAGGAAUAACAGGAAGCCCGAUGUGAAUGACAGAGAUGCAGCAAGGUUUUGGCUUUGCAUUUACUCCUUCCAGCUUCUAGGCAGGUGUACCAGGUAAGUGCAGCAGCGUUCUGAAAGCUGUGAAUAAACACGCGAGAAUAUUACACAGGUAAGUCCUCUAACGUAUCGUGCGUUUUUAUGAUCUUAGUAUGAGAAUAACCAUGUCAAAAUGAUUUUUCCUACCUUGUAGCUAUCUAGUAAGAGAAGGGGGAUUUUGAAGAGAGCUCAAAACCAUCUUUGGAGUGGUGAAUGAGGUUUAGAAAUGCCAUGGCAUAAAACUGCUAUUACUGAACCCAAAUUAUUGAAUGUAACAUACCAAGUUAUAGCUGGUAUUAGUGAGGAUGGGGGUUGGAAAUGACCUUCCAGGAACACUGUUGACUCAUAUAAGAAAAGUACAUUUGCCAUAGUUACCAUUUAGCAAGUUAUACCCAACAGAUGGUUCAAGCCUUUUGACACCAUUGAAAAUCAUGCCACUUAAGUAAAUUUCUUGGGAUUUAUCUUCUUUGUUUUAUUUUACCCCCAACUCUUCCAGCUUGUGUCAUAUCAAAUUAUUCCCAUAGCUUUUA